GCCUGGGUAGCUCAGUAGUAGAGCAUUUCCCUGAAGAGGAAGUGGCCGGCAGUGCGAUUCUGCCCCCAGGCACCC
RNAcentral lists this transfer RNA (75 nucleotides) under Candidatus Nomurabacteria bacterium RIFCSPHIGHO2_01_FULL_36_23. RNAcentral's name for it is "tRNA-Phe". It matches the Rfam family "tRNA". From Rfam's summary of the family: Transfer RNA (tRNA) molecules are approximately 80 nucleotides in length. Their secondary structure includes four short double-helical elements and three loops (D, anti-codon, and T loops). Further hydrogen bonds mediate the characteristic L-shaped molecular structure. tRNAs have two regions of fundamental functional importance: the anti-codon, which is responsible for specific mRNA codon recognition, and the 3' end, to which the tRNAs corresponding amino acid is attached (by aminoacyl-tRNA synthetases). tRNAs cope with the degeneracy of the genetic code in two manners: having more than one tRNA (with a specific anti-codon) for a particular amino acid; and 'wobble' base-pairing, i.e. permitting non-standard base-pairing at the 3rd anti-codon position. The record is from RNAcentral. RNAcentral also lists the same sequence under 2 other names. Lineage: Bacteria; Candidatus Nomuraibacteriota.